CGAAGUAGCAAUACUUAGUGGCAGACGGGUGAGUAACAUGUGGGUAUCUACCCUUUGGCCUGGAAUAACACGAGGAAACUUGUGCUAAUACUGGAUAAGUCUUUACGGAGAAAGCUUUAUGCACCAUUGGAUGGGCCUGCACUUGAUUAGCUUGUUGGCAGGGUAAUGGCCUACCAAGACUGUGAUCAACAGCUGAUUUGAGAGGAUGAUCAGCCACAUUGGGACUGAGACACGGCCCAAACUC
Molecule: ribosomal RNA, 244 nt
Filed under: uncultured Alphaproteobacteria bacterium
Lineage: Bacteria; Pseudomonadati; Pseudomonadota; Alphaproteobacteria
Description: partial 16S ribosomal RNA
Rfam family: Bacterial small subunit ribosomal RNA
Source: RNAcentral